CAAAAAAUAGUUUAAUAGAAAAUAUUAGCUUUGGGGGCUAAUGAUAGGGAUAGAGCCUUUUUUUUGA
Molecule: transfer RNA, 67 nt
Filed under: Nephrurus amyae
Lineage: Eukaryota; Metazoa; Chordata; Lepidosauria; Squamata; Carphodactylidae
Description: tRNA-Pro
Source: RNAcentral